UACGGAGGGAGCUAGCGUUGUUCGGAAAUACUGGGCGUAAAGCGCACGUAGGCGGCGCAGCAAGUCAGGGGUGAAAUCCCGGGGCUCGACCUCGGAACUGCCCUUGAAACUGCAGUGCUAGAAUCUUGGAGAGGCGAGUGGAAUUCCGAGUGUAGAGGUGAAAUUCGUAGAUAUUCGGAAGAACACCAGUGGCGAAGGCGAAUCGCUGGACAAGUAUUGACGCUGAGGUGCGAAAGCGUGGGGAGCAAACAGG
RNAcentral lists this ribosomal RNA (253 nucleotides) under uncultured bacterium. RNAcentral describes it as "partial 16S ribosomal RNA". It matches the Rfam family "Bacterial small subunit ribosomal RNA", at positions 524 to 776 of the family's 1533-position model. The record is from RNAcentral.